AGCGCAGGCGGUUUUUAAGUCUGAUGUGAAAGCCUUCGGCUUAACCGGAGAAGUGCAUCGGAAACUGGGAGACUUGAGUGCAGAAGAGGACAGUGGAACUCCAUGUGUAGCGGUGGAAUGCGUAGAUAUACGGAAGAACACCAGUGGCGAAGGCGGCUGUCUAGUCUGUAACUGACGCUGAGGCUCGAAAGCAUGGGUAGCGAACA
This 206-nucleotide ribosomal RNA is filed under the name uncultured bacterium. RNAcentral's name for it is "partial 16S ribosomal RNA". It matches the Rfam family "Bacterial small subunit ribosomal RNA", at positions 568 to 774 of the family's 1533-position model. The record is from RNAcentral.